GGCGGUACGGGGGCCGAGCAGGGAUUGGCUGGGGGUCCUGGCGGGGAGGAGGCGGAAGCGGAAGCGGAAGCGGCAAGGCCGGAAGCGGCGGCGCCAUGGAGCUGAGCGAGAUGCUGUAUAACAAGUCCGAGUACAUCGAGACGGCAUCUGGCAACAAAGUCAGCAGACAGUCAGUGCUCUGCGGAAGCCAGAACAUAGUUCUGAAUGGAAAGACGAUAGUUAUGAAUGAUUGUAUUAUUCGUGGUGAUCUGGCAAACGUAAGAGUUGGACGCCACUGUGUUGUGAAAAGCCGCAGUGUCAUCAGGCCGCCUUUCAAGAAAUUCAGCAAGGGAGUUGCUUUCUUCCCUCUCCACAUCGGUGAUCAUGUCUUUAUAGAAGAAGACUGCGUUGUCAAUGCAGCCCAGAUUGGCUCCUACGUUCACAUAGGCAAGAAUUGUGUCAUUGGUCGUAGGUGUGUUUUGAAAGACUGCUGCAAAAUUCUAGCCAACACAGUUCUACCCCCUGAAACUGUGGUCCCGCCUUUUACAGUCUUUUCAGGCUGCCCAGGGCUCUUCUCUGGAGAACUCCCAGAAUGCACCCAAGAGCUGAUGAUUGAUGUUACAAAGAGCUAUUACCAGAAGUUCUUGCCACUUACUCAGAAGCAGGAGGCCUCUCAAACAAGCAGUGGGGCCACGGGAAGACUGAAGUGCUAAAUGAGCACUCAGGGAAGACAAGGCCAGUGCAGAGAAGCUAAAUAAAUUCUUUCCAUCAGUCUUCGCUGCAGAGGAUGUGAUGGAGAUUCCCACACGUGGCCUCUGCCAGGGCCUAAAGACCAAGUCACCAGCGAAGACCUCACAAACACAGCCCUGUUAAAAUCCCCUAGAUCUGGCCCUUUUAACCUCUGUCCUCUGGAGCAUCGCUCUGUCCAGGCUCAUCUCUGAACCUCUGCCUGCCGGCUGGCUGCACUAACUGGAAUGAUGAAGUGUCCUUAGGUUGGUGCCUGCCACCACUGCCUCCUGGGAGUUGUUUCCUGGUGUCUACAAUUAGCCUGAUACAGUAGAAUGAACCACAACUUCCAAGAGGAGGCUUUGCUGCACAGCUCUGGAACAAACUGCCACAGUGGAGUUAGUUGGCUUUGGGGGCAAUGGAGACUCCGCUACUGGAUUCCUCUGUUCAGGAACCUUUUAAAAACAUUCUCACUUGCUUAAACAAUAAACCAACCCUGCAUUCUGCCACCAUA
Molecule: RNA transcript, 1219 nt
Organism: Dermochelys coriacea (leatherback sea turtle)
Lineage: Eukaryota; Metazoa; Chordata; Testudines; Dermochelyidae
Gene: DCTN5
Gene name: dynactin subunit 5
Exons: 8
Source: RefSeq, a predicted model, not a curated record